Molecule: long non-coding RNA, 2984 nt
Organism: Chelonia mydas (Green sea turtle)
Lineage: Eukaryota; Metazoa; Chordata; Testudines; Cheloniidae
Exons: 2
Source: RefSeq, a predicted model, not a curated record
AAAUGAACUGUAUGUUCUGAAGGCUUGCUUCAUAAAGGGAACCUAUUUUUGCAGUAUCCUAACAUUCUGCUCACUUUCAUUUUGGCAGGAACAAAAAAAAUAAAAAAUGUGAAGUCUUCACAACCAGAUUCACCAGACACCAUAAAGGCAGUUCCUCUAGGAGUCUAGAACUGUUUGUGGUGAGGAAAGAAGUGACAAUGAAAAUAGACAAACCCAUAUUCCCAUAGUAGAGCAUGAUAACAUGGAGAAGUACCUAUAGUAAACCAGGUAAGUCACAAUCAUUAAUAACGAUCUACUCUCACAAUUAAUAGAAACUGAUCUCAUUAAUAUGAUUAUAUUCAGUUUCCUUUCAAAUGUUCAUUUUUUGCUUUACUAAUUUAUUUAUGUACAUUUCAGUCAGGACUCAGAUUCCUGCCUAUUUUUUCUUAAUUGGGAAUAUUUUAAAAAAAUACUUAUAGAUGGAAGCAAGUUGUUUCUCUAGAGAUAUUCAAACACAAGCUGGCUGUUAUAGGUAUCAUAGGUAAAUCCACUAAUCUUUCACCCUAGAUUUAACUUCAAAUCCCAAUUUAGGUCACAGUGAAAACCAGUUGUUUGGUCUCACCUUAGAACUGGAACUGCAAGUGCAGAUUGAGGUGUGAUUUUGCAAAGCUUGCACAACAGCUGCCUACACUUUACCUGAUUUAAACAACAAAUAUCAGGUCCAAUCUACACAGCAAUUAUAAAGUGAGUCAGGCGAUCCAGUUAAAACUUGUGGUGAAGAUUGGAUUUAAGUGUCCCAAAACUAGAACACAGACAGUCAAAAUUUAAAGAACAUGAUGAAGUCUCAUCUACAUCAUAACUUAAGUGUGUUAUAUCCUAGUUCCCUAAAUUCAGUUGUAGUUGUCCAGAUAGCCCUUAGUCUUACCAUUUAAAGAAAAAAAAUAUUUUCCUAAGGUCUCAUGAUGCUUCAUGUGUAAAAACUAAACAUAAAUUUCUUAUGCAAAGAGAAAAAGAAAUAUUGGACAAUGAUUUUUUUUUAAACAGACUAAAGUUAAAGUGAUUUCUACCCUUAAACAUGAGAUUAGUAAAAAAUAAUCUUGCAUGCAUACACAGAUAACUUGGUUUGUGGAUGGUCUAAGUAAAUAUCUCUUCUCUCUAUUUGGUAUCAUCUGUUUAUUUGUAGCAGUAUCAUUGUAAACUCAUUACUUUAUAAACGAUGACUAAAGUCUCUAACUUACGAAAGUUACUUUUCACUUACUGAUCUAUGAAUUCUACACCGACUCCAAAAGCUUCUGCCAUGUACCCUAGUGUCAGUGACCGGUAGGAUUCUAGGAGCUGGCUGUAAGCAUGGAUUCUCAUUUCCCGUACAUAAUAACGGUAGUGAGGAGCAAACAGCCAAUCUUUUUUCAUCUCUUGCUCUACAAUAGCUGAAAAGAUAAAAAUCACAAAUACAGUCUAUAAUCUCUUAGAGUUAAUCUAUUCCUGGUUAUACACAAAAAAAAAAAAAAAACCACCCCACAUAACAAAGUUCAAUAAGCAACAUGACAUGGUAUGUGGUUGUACAGGAUCCCUGUGUCCCGUAUGUGUGCAUUGAGAUAUAAACGCACAACCAAAAUAGAUACUCACAUCUUUAACGAUAGCACCUGGUUUGUGUUUGCUUCAUCAAAACUUGUUCUUAAGAAUAGAACAGUUGAGGGUAAGACUAGUUUUCUAUUGAGAGGGUCUUAAACUGGCUUUAAGAAACUACAGAUGCUUCAGGAGCUCUUGGUUUUUGUCAGACUGGCACGUGCAGUUCUCAGCAGCAGCUGAGGUCUGCAGCUGAGAUUUUCUACCCUCUGCUUCUGGUUGCAGGGCAGCCAUUCGGAUCCAGUCUUCUCCAAAGUAAAGGGGAAGAUUUUUUUAAAAUUAUUAUUUUUGCUACCCUAGAACCCAUUUUCAUGGAAACUGGAACAGAAACCAGCAGCAUGAAAACUGACAGCACAGUGACAACAAUGAAGAAUGGAUUUUAAAACUGUUUUCUUCCCUCAUUUCUGCACUGUUCCCACAGAAAUCAGUUCAAAACCGCCCUUAAUAGCCAGUGGCUAUGAAAUCUCCCCUUUGUAAUUUAAACCUGAAAGUUCAGAUUUUAAAAAUUUAGAAUCCUUUGACUUCCUGAAGCAUCCAGUGUUUUAAAUUUAUAAAAAACUGUCUUCAUUUUUAAAGGAAGCCUUCCAGAAUUCCCAUUUUAAUGGAGUUAAGUACUAUUACGGUCCCAAUUCCACAACCAGGAAUCUUGUAUUUGCACACAGCUUAUGGGUCUGACCAUAGAAUUAGGACCAAAGAUAGCAAACUAGCUCUUUGAUCGCAUCCUGUAAGAUGGUACCAUGUGCCCACAUUGUCAGAACCUUUCCUCAUCCAACCAGAUGCCACCUUUCAAAAUGCUCAUUUUAUAAGAAAAACAUUUUAGAGAGCCAUAAAUCCUUGCAAGAGCAGCUUACUUUACUUCACUGUGCUGCAAAGGGAAAGUGGUAUUUAGGAGUGAUUCACCUAAAGUAAAUGGAUGAUUUUAACUGUCAGGGGUUUGACAACACUAACUACACCUAUAGCCCAUCCCCUAGGCAAUUCUACAAAACUCAGCUACGAUUUGCAGCAAGCUGCUCACAGGACCUAAUGAGAAACACAGGACAACGAUACUGGUGUAUGAAACAUCCUUACCUAAUGACUGGAAGAAGACUGAAUAACGACAUUCAUAGAGUGAAAAAAGAUACUGUCGUACUGUUGGUAAACUAUGCAACACUUCCAGAAUCUCUGCCCCUUUAAUAACCUGAAAGCAAUCGAACAACAUUUAGAAGUUUCAUAUACUAGUCUGAGAGAGAACAUUAAGAAUAAUCUGAUCAGCUUGAAUCAGUGCAGUAAUUUGCUUUACUUGCCUUCUCUCUGAGGUCAGGUCUGUCUAACGCAAUCAUACUGACGUAGACAGUAUAUGUUACAAAUGUUUUGUAAUCCAUAAGUUCAUAGGAUGUAAA